AUCUGCUGUGGACAGAUGAAAUGGAUAUGCACAUCCAGGCCACCGGCGGUGAUGAUCUUCCCUUCGCCCGCGAUGGCUUCUGUCGAGACGCCGAUGAUAAUAUCCACAUCCGGCUGCACAUCCGGGUUGCCGGCCUUGCCGAUCCCCGUGAUGCGCCCGUCCGUAAUACCGAUGUCGGCCUUGACUACGCCCCAGUGAUCCAGGAUCAGGGCAUUGGUGAUGACGGUAUCGACGGCGCCCUGCGCCCGGCCCAAUUGGGAUUGCCCCAUGCCGUCGCG
This 278-nucleotide small RNA is filed under the name marine eukaryotic metagenome. Its description in RNAcentral is "5' ureB small RNA". It matches the Rfam family "5' ureB small RNA". The record is from RNAcentral.